UGGGGAAUCUUGCACAAUGGGCGCAAGCCUGAUGCAGCAACGCCGCGUGCGGGAAGACGGCCUUCGGGUUGUAAACCGCUUUCGGCAGGGAAGAAAAUGACGGUACCUGCAGUAAGAAGGUGCGGCCAACUACGUGCCAGCAGCCGCGGUGACACGUAGGCACCGAGCGUUAUCCGGAUUUAUUGGGCGUAAAGAGCUCGUAGGCGGUUCGGUAAGUCGGGUGUGACAACUCGAGGCUCAACCUCGAGAGGCCACUCGAUACUGCCGUGACUUGAGUGCGGUAGGGGAGCGGAGAAUUCCUGGUGUAGCGGUGAAAUGCGCAGAUAUCAGGAGGAAUACCAGUGGCGAAGGCGCCGCUCUGGGCCGUAACUGACGCUGAGGAGCGAAAGCGUGGGUAGCAAACAGGAUUAGAUACCCGUGUAGUCC
RNAcentral lists this ribosomal RNA (426 nucleotides) under uncultured prokaryote. Its description in RNAcentral is "bacterial SSU rRNA". It matches the Rfam family "Bacterial small subunit ribosomal RNA", at positions 355 to 796 of the family's 1533-position model. The record is from RNAcentral.